ACGAACCAGGCUUCGGCCUGGGGCAAAGCCGCGAACGGGUGAGUAACGCGUGGGUAACCUGCCCCAAUGACCGGGACAACUCGGGGAAACCCGAGCUAAUACCGGAUGUGCAUCCCUCACACCAGUGAGGAAUGGAAAGGAAGCUUCGGCCUCCGCAUUGGGAUGGGCCCGCGGCCCAUUAGCCUGUUGGUGAGGUAACGGCUCACCAAGGCUGCGAUGGGUAGCUGGUCUGAGAGGACGAUCAGCCACACUGGGACUGAGACACGGCCCAGACUCC
This 277-nucleotide ribosomal RNA is filed under the name uncultured bacterium. RNAcentral describes it as "partial 16S ribosomal RNA". It matches the Rfam family "Bacterial small subunit ribosomal RNA", at positions 68 to 339 of the family's 1533-position model. The record is from RNAcentral.